GACUCCCCUCUAAAAUAAUGCCUUAUUGUCUAAUACCUUUUACCAAAUAGAGUUUAGAUUCUCUCCGGCUUGUACCUAUACCAAACGGAGUUUAGAUUCUCUCGGGUUUGGGAUUUAAUAAAAGAGAUCUAAUCUUGCAAUCACAACUAUCCAUGUGUUGCUCAUGGAUUUGCCUAAAAUGAACUGUUCUAGUCUUCCAUUUCUUUACACACCCAAUGUUCGACCGACCACCACCCAACAAGGUUUGAUGUAUCAGCUGGUAUCGAUACAUACGGACCAUACAAUACUAUAUCAUAUUAAUACCAAACUAAUACAAGAUAUGAAAGCCAUACCAACAUUUGAUAUGCCAAAUUAGGUACCAUACCUGACAUACUUAUAUUGUAACAACCUGGUAUCGAUAUAGAAUUCGAUCCUGAUAGGGUGAACUUUGAACCCAAAAUAAACCACCAAUUCAAUUACUGAAAAACCUUUAUUUUC
This 477-nucleotide long non-coding RNA is filed under the name Phoenix dactylifera (date palm). Its description in RNAcentral is "long non-coding RNA (PDAC_LNC013492)". Lineage: Eukaryota; Viridiplantae; Streptophyta; Magnoliopsida; Arecales; Arecaceae. The record is from RNAcentral.